GAGCGCAGACGGUUACUUAAGCAGGAUGUGAAAUCCCCGGGCUCAACCUGGGAACUGCGUUCUGAACUGGGUGACUAGAGUGUGUCAGAGGGAGGUAGAAUUCCACGUGUAGCAGUGAAAUGCGUAGAGAUGUGGAGGAAUACCGAUGGCGAAGGCAGCCUCCUGGGAUAACACUGACGUUCAUGCUCGAAAGCGUGGGUAGCAAACAGGAUUAGAUACCCUGGUAGUCCACGCCCUAAACGAUGUCAAUUAGCUGUUGGGCAACUUGAUUGCUUAGUAGCGUAGCUAACGCGUGAAAUUGACCGCCUGGGGAGUACGGUCGCAAGAUUAAAACUCAAAGGAAUUGACGGGGACCCGCACAAGCGGUGGAUGAUGUGGAUUAAUUCGAUGCAACGCGAAGAACCUUACCUGGUCUUGACAUGUACGGAAUCCUCCAGAGACGGAGGAGUGCCUUCGGGAACCGUAACACAGGUGCUGCAUGGCUGUCGUCAGCUCGUGUCGUGAG
This 505-nucleotide ribosomal RNA is filed under the name uncultured bacterium. RNAcentral describes it as "bacterial SSU rRNA". It matches the Rfam family "Bacterial small subunit ribosomal RNA", at positions 567 to 1071 of the family's 1533-position model. The record is from RNAcentral.